GACGAACGCUGGCGGCGUGCUUAACACAUGCAAGUCGAACGGAAAGGCCCUGCUUUUGUGGGGUGCUCGAGUGGCGAACGGGUGAGUAACACGUGAGUAACCUGCCCUUGACUUUGGGGUAACUUCAGGAAACUGGGGCUAAUACCGGAUAGGAGCUCCUGCUGCAUGGUGGGGGUUGGAAAGUUUCGGCGGUUGGGGGUGGACUCGCGGCUUAUCAGCUUGUUGGUGGGGUAGUGGCUUACCAAGGCUUUGACGGGUAGCCGGCCUGAGAGGGUGACCGGCCACAUUGGGACUGAGAUACGGCCCAGACUCCUACGGGAGGCAGCAGUGGGGAAUAUUGCACAAUGGGCGGAAGCCUGAUGCAGCAACGCCGCGUGUGGGAUGACGGCCUUCGGGUUGUAAACCGCUUUCGCCUGUGACGAAGCGUUAGUGACGGUAAUGGGUAAAGAAGCACCGGCUAACUACGUG
Molecule: ribosomal RNA, 468 nt
Filed under: uncultured bacterium
Lineage: Bacteria
Description: partial 16S ribosomal RNA
Rfam family: Bacterial small subunit ribosomal RNA
Source: RNAcentral